UUGAAAUACCACCCUUUAAUGUUUGAUGUUCUAACGUGGACCCGUUACCCGGGUUGCGGACAGUGUCUGGUGGGUAGUUUGACUGGGGCGGUCUCCUCCUAAAGAGUAACGGAGGAGCACGAAGGUUGGCUAAUCCUGGUCGGACAUCAGGAGGUUAGUGCAAUGGCAUAAGCCAGCUUGACUGCGAGCGUGACGGCGCGAGCAGGUGCGAAAGCAGGUCAUAGUGAUCCGGUGGUUCUGAAUGGAAGGGCCAUCGCUCAACGGAUAAAAGGUACUCCGGGGAUAACAGGCUGAUACCGCCCAAGAGUUCAUAUCGACGGCGGUGUUUGGCACCUCGAUGUCGGCUCAUCACAUCCUGGGGCUGAAGUAGGUCCCAAGGGUAUGGCUGUUCGCCAUUUAAAGUGGUACGCGAGCUGGGUUUAGAACGUCGUGAGACAGUUCGGUCCCUAUCUGCCGUGGGCGCUGGAGAACUGAGGGGGGCUGCUCCUAGUACGAGAGGACCGGAGUGGACGCAUCACUGGUGUUCGGGUUGUCAUGCCAAUGGCACUGCCCGGUAGCUAAAUGCGGAAGAGA
Molecule: ribosomal RNA, 573 nt
Filed under: Salmonella enterica
Lineage: Bacteria; Pseudomonadati; Pseudomonadota; Gammaproteobacteria; Enterobacterales; Enterobacteriaceae
Also listed under: 1 other name
Description: partial 23S ribosomal RNA
Rfam family: Bacterial large subunit ribosomal RNA
Source: RNAcentral